GACGAACGCUGGCGGCGUGCUUAACACAUGCAAGUCGAACGGAAAGGCCUGCUUUCCCUUGUGGAUUGCGGGUACUCGAGUGGCGAACGGGUGAGUAACACGUGAGUGAUCUGCCCCCAACUUGGGUAUAAGCCUGGGAAACUGGGUCUAAUUCCCGAUAGGACUGCAGGGUGGUGCCUGUGGUGGAAAACGAUUUUCUAGUGGUUGGGGAUGAGCUCGCGGCCUAUCAGCUUGUUGGUGGGGUAAUGGCCUACCAAGGCGGCGACGGGUAGCCGGCCUGGGAGGGUGGACGGCCACAUUGGGACUGAGAUACGGCCCAGACUCCUACGGGAGGCAGCAGUGGGGAAUAUUGCACAAUGGGCGGAAGCCUGAUGCAGCGACGCCGCGUGGGGGAUGACGGCCUGCGGGUUGUAAACUCCUUUCGACCGCGAGGAAGCCACCUGGUUGGAAGGGUGGUGACGGUAGUGGUAGAAGAAGCACCGGCUAACUACGUG
Molecule: ribosomal RNA, 494 nt
Filed under: uncultured bacterium
Lineage: Bacteria
Description: partial 16S ribosomal RNA
Rfam family: Bacterial small subunit ribosomal RNA
Source: RNAcentral